Oryctolagus cuniculus (rabbit) is the source of this 1646-nucleotide long non-coding RNA. Lineage: Eukaryota; Metazoa; Chordata; Mammalia; Lagomorpha; Leporidae. The record is from Ensembl.
AGUAAAGGCCUGAGUAAAUUGUAUGAAUAUAUUCUAAAAUACGUACGUAAAAAACAAAAAUAAAAAGGCCGCGGGCCUCUUCCAAACAAAAGUAUGGACAUUCGUUAUGGGUGGGGGCGGGUUUUUAACCGAGUUCGCGGGACCUGCGAGCCGCACCGCGCUUAGGUCCCGGGCUGUGAGCGCGGGACCAGGACGGGCGUCCGCUCGCGGGAUGAGCACGACUCACCGGCCAAGGGGUGUGGCGCCCCCGAAAACUGGUUCUGACGAGGUUGCGCUGCAGCCGGAGAAGCGGCUACAGUACCCGCCCUCCCCCGAACCGGCCCCACUCGCCCGCCCGGUGACAAAAGGAUUUUUUUUUUUUUUUAAUGUAUGCGCUGCUCUUCCCCCGGGGACACAGCCGGGUGACUCCCAGCUGAAAUGGGUGUGCAGCAGGCAUCCGUCAGUUAGGCGUGGCGCACUGCCACUUAUGUAACAAAUGCUACCCGGCAAGGUGCGCCGAGCAGAGGAGAUGGAAGCCGCACUUCCUCCUCUGAAAUGCGCUAGCCUGACUCCGGGGCAACUUCCGGGAGGCGGAGUGGUCCUGCCCGGGAAUGGAGAGUCCCGGCACUUGCAGGCCCCCGUGCUGGGCGCCGUGUUGGCUGUUUUCAAGCGCGGAUCCGAGGAAAUGUGGGCUCCAAGCACCUGCUGGAGGGCCUCUCUGGUCGUUGGCGUACUCCUAUCUAAGUCGGCCAUGGCAAGCCAGGUCUCUCGUACAGGAUGAAUUUUCUGCCCCCAGUACAUGAAAAUGAAACCACUCGUCCUGGGAAUGAUGCUGCUGACCAGUGGGCACUGGAUUCCAAAGUCUGCAGGUCCAGCUUAGUUUGGCGAGGAUGAUACCCCUUCCAUCCGGGAUGUCCAGCAGGGUACCCACCUGUGGCUACUGAGCACUUGAAAACAGGACUAGCAGGUUAGACCCCCGGCCUGCAGUGCCGGCAUCCCAUAUGGGCGCUGGUUUGAGUCCUGGCUGCUCCACUUCUGAUCCAGCUCUCUGCUGUGGCCUGGGAAAGCAGUGGAAGAUGGCCCGAGUGCUUGGGCCCCUGCACCCACAUGGGAGACCUGGAAGAAGCUCCUGGCUCCUGGCUUCACAUUGGCUCAGGUCUGGCUGUUGCGGGCAUUUGGGGAGUGAACCAAUGGAUGGAAGACCUCUCUCUCUCUCUCUCCCCCUCCCUCUACCUCUGUAACUCUGUCUUUAAAAUUACAUUAAUUAAUUAAUUUUUAAAAACAGGACUGGUGCAACUUGAGGUGUGCUCCAAGUGUAAAGCAUAUCUGAGGCAGAGGGGUUGUGUCGUGAAGGUGCUGCCUGUGACGCCAGCAUCCCAUAUGGGCGCAGGUUCGAGUCCUAGUUGCUCCACUUCUGAUCCAGCUCCUUGCUAAUGCACCUGGGGAAGCAGUGGAAAAUGACCCAAGUCCUUGAGCCCCUGUACCCACGUGAGAGACCCAGAAGAAGCUCCUGGCUCCCAGCUCCUGGUUCCUGGCUUCAGCCAGGCGCAGCCCCGGCCAUUUCAGUCAUUUGGGGAAUGAACCAGCGGAUAAAGAUCUCCCUCUCUCUGUGUAACUCUGCCUUUCAGGUAAAUAAAAAAUAAAAGGAGGCUGGCGCUGUGGCGUAG